CGCGGUCUGCAGCGUGGUCGCGAUCGAGGCCGGGUCGACCCCGGCGGCGGCCAGCUUCGCGUAGUCCAGCGUGAUCGUGACGCGCGGCUGCUGC
This 94-nucleotide transfer RNA is filed under the name Amycolatopsis sp. NBRC 101858. RNAcentral describes it as "tRNA-Ser". The record is from RNAcentral. Lineage: Bacteria; Bacillati; Actinomycetota; Actinomycetes; Pseudonocardiales; Pseudonocardiaceae.